GUGGGGCGCUGACGCGCUCCUCCCCGGAGCGUAUGGCAGCGCAGCGCCGGACGGGGCGUUCUCCCUCCCCCCCUCCUCUCGCUUCCAUCUCCGCCGUCUCCUCGGUCUCCCUUCCCAUCCCGGCCCCUCCUCCGCCAGCCGCGUCCUCCCGGGCUUGGUGAGGAACUGUUCCUGGAGGAGCCGCGGGACGCCAAAACCAGCCAAUGGGAAGCGGCGAUUCGCGGAGAUUGGCACUGAUGAUGGGAAGGAAUAUUGAUCUCAGCGUUACUUUGACCAUUAAUGAAUUAUGAUGGCAAUAAGCAAAGAUUCGCACCUCUAGCCUCCGGGGAGCUUAAUCUUCUGCUACAACAUUUGCAUUUGGUGUCUCUCUACUGCUCAGGCUGGAGUGCAGUGGUGCGAUCAUAGCUCACUGCAGCCUCGACUUCCUGGGCUCAGGUGACCCUCUCGCCUGAAACCAUAUUCCCCCUCAAGUAGCUGAGACUACAGAGACAAGGUCUCACUAUGUUGCCUAGGCUGGUCUUCAACUCCUGGCCUGAAGUUAUCCUCUCAUCUUGGACUGCCAAAGUGCUGGGAUUUGGCACCACUGAGCCAAAUCCCAGGCGUGAGCCACUGAGCCUGGGCUGUUCUUCCUUCUUUAUAGGCUUAAAAACCUUCAAAAAUUAUCUCAAGAUUAUCCACUCCAGGAAGAACUUGAGCCUCAUUGAUUGAAUUGGUGUACUUCUCCUCCCUUCCUAUAGCAUUUUCUUUAUGUGUCUAUCCUAGCACUUCUCACACAGUGUUGAAUUCAUCUGUCCACCUGGCUCAUCAUACAAAUUGUUCCAUGAGUUCAAGGAUCAUGCUGCAUGCUGGAUUCCCCCGGAAGCUGAUUCUGAGAUGGAGUUUAGUGUACUAAAUAUUUAUGUGGGCCUUUGGAUCAUCACCUGUGAAAAGGAAGAGAAGGAAGCAGGAGUGGACCUAGGGUGAAGUGAAGCUCUGAUGCAAACCUGACAACUGCCUCACCUGACACCAUGAAGAGCUCUGGAGCUAGAAUGGCCUUUUGUUGUUCUGAAUUGGUGUGAGGUAGCUAGGUCUUUACACCCCUGCCACCACCCAUUAUUGGGUAUGGGCCAACCAGGAAGGGGCAUGACCAUGAGUGAUGCAGCUCUGCAGCUGAAGCAAUAACUGAAGAGGCUGACAGCUGAGGGCCAUCUGCUGACAGUACUCCCUGCAGCUGGGCAGCACAUCCUUUCUCAAAAGGGGAUCAAGGCAGUUGCAUCUCCGUGUCCACCAUGGACUAUAUAUUUUUUCUUUGCAUUCCUAGGGCCUCCCAUAGUAUAUGGCACAUAGUAGGCAAAACUGGAGGUCUGUAGGGCAAAUUCAGCUAGUAGAUGAGUAUUGUUUUUUCACCCACAAAGAGAUUUUUAAAAAUUAGUUGUCAACAUUUAAAAAUAAAAAGAUUUCACAUUGAA
Molecule: long non-coding RNA, 1448 nt
Filed under: Homo sapiens (human)
Lineage: Eukaryota; Metazoa; Chordata; Mammalia; Primates; Hominidae
Description: non-protein coding lnc-SPATA31D4-1:3
Source: RNAcentral